CCUACGGGUGGCAGCAGUGAGGAAUAUUGGUCAAUGGGCGCGAGCCUGAACCAGCCAAGUAGCGUGAAGGAUGACUGCCCUAUGGGUUGUAAACUUCUUUUAUAUGGGAAUAAAACGUUCCACGUGUGGGUUUUUGUAUUUACCAUAUGAAUAAGGAACGGCUAACUCCGUGCCAGCAGCCGCGGUAAUACGGAGGAUCCGAGCGUUAUCCGGAUUUAUUGGGUUUAAAGGGAGAGGAGGUGGAUUGUUAAGUCAGUUGUGAAAGUUUGCGGCUCAACCGUAGAAUUGCAGUUGAAACUGGCAGUCUUGAGUGCAGUAGAGGUGGGCGGAAUUCGUGGUGGAGCGGUGAAAUGCUUAGAUAUCACGAAGAACUCCGAUUGCGAAGGCAGUUCACUGUACUGCAACUGACGCUGAGGCUCGAAAGUGUGGGUAUCAAACAGGAUUAGAUACCCGUGUAGUC
Molecule: ribosomal RNA, 460 nt
Filed under: uncultured bacterium
Lineage: Bacteria
Description: partial 16S ribosomal RNA
Rfam family: Bacterial small subunit ribosomal RNA
Source: RNAcentral